This is a long non-coding RNA of Tympanuchus pallidicinctus (lesser prairie-chicken), 1966 nucleotides long. RefSeq lists it as uncharacterized. The transcript is spliced from 2 exons. Lineage: Eukaryota; Metazoa; Chordata; Aves; Galliformes; Phasianidae. The record is from RefSeq and is a predicted model, not a curated record.
GGUCAGCGGGGCGCUGUGUGUGGGCGCCUCGCGUCGCUCGCGUUUGGAGCCAGUGGCAGCCGAUGUGGGGUUGACUGAGCUAAAUUCAUGUGAAUGUCUUUGAUGGCCGCAGUUGGCACAUCCUAAUUCUUAGGUUGUGAGAGAGUGAAUGACUUUUGUGUUGGCUUUUGGGAUGCCACCGUGGUUUUGCCGCCUUCUCCUUCGCUGCCCCUUUUUCUAUGCUGGAGAAAAUAUAUCUGAGCUGAUACAGGAUGCUGUCAGCACUUGGUGCUCCUGCACAAGGCCACUAAGGCCAUACAGACCAACCGCCAACCGUUCCCACUAAACCAUAACAGUGCUGAGCUGUGGCCUCGUGGUUUGGUAGCUUGCAGCCCGUGUGUGAAACUCGCUGGAGUUGCACAUGGACUUGGGAUGGCCAGGAGAUCUGGGUGCUGCGCGAAGCAGGAAUGGUGAAUGACGCUGGGGAGGGGAGCCCUCUGGAAACUGUGACGGCUUGUGUGUGUUGCAACUACAUCUGAUUAGUUCAUCAGGAGCCGGUGUCAGCCUGGUACAUCUAAGAGCUGAGUGAGCCUGGAUGCAGUCCAGCUGCUGCCUUGCCCUAUAGGGCUGAAGUGCUCAGCCUUGCUGAACCAGACGUGUGUCUGGGUGUGCCUGAUCUGUGUUGCUCUUAUCAGGAGAGCUAAGCAGCCCAGCGCAGCGGGUGUCCUCGCAAAAGUGCAACCCUGAUUCUGCAUGGCUGAUGCUCAGCUGGAGGUAAAGGUUUAGCCUGGAUGCUGCGGCAUCAUUUGUGCCUCUGUGCUCUGCUCUACCAGGAGAUAAGCUCAGGUGGUCCUGGGUCCAGGCUGGGUUUGUGCUGUGCCCAACCAGGGUCUCAGACUGAGUUCAGCCUGGGGUUAGUAACAUCAGUACGACUUCAGAGCCACUCAGAUGAAUCCAAACUUUGCUGAUUAGCACAGCAUAGGGAUAACUGGGCAAGCUUUGCAAGACGCAUUCAUAUUCCAUGCCGCGUGAAAGUACUUGUACGGAUGUGAAUCUGCAGGGCCCUGAGAUGCAGCCUGAGCUGAUGAACUCAAUCAGACCCAAAUUGGCUCUGCAUGGAACUUGCCUGGUGCCUCUGGCCCUUCAGCAUUCUUGAUUUGCUGCUCAUCAGCUGUGGUAUAGCUGAAUGUUGACUUUAUCUACUGCUGUACUUGGAUGCAUAAUCUAAAAUGUGUUGAUUGGGCAAAAAAUCACUAGGAGAGAAGUUUAUAGAGAGAUUCAGUAGCACGGGGAAUGGUGUUUAAGACCAGGCCCACGCCUCGACACUGCCAUUUAUCUUUCUUUCGGAUAAGGGAGCAGAUUCACAGGAAUGUGGAAUUUAGUACUGUUGAAAACUGGGUACAAUAUUAAACUUUAACCGGGCUUGUGCGUUUUCCAGUAUUUGUAACAGUCAGAUAUUUGUGUUCCUUCAUUGUAUGUUACGAUUCUGAUCUAGCAAAGCACUUAAAUUAUGUUCUGUAGAGCUUUGUUGGAUCAGGGCCACUGUCAGUACUUCCAAAAAGUAAAGCCUAAAGCAGUCUCUGAAAUAUUUGGCUAGAGAUGGUCUAGCAUUAUUCCUCACCCAUAAGGAUCUUAUCUGGACCCUCCCGUAGGAACUGAAAUAGCAAAUGUCAUGUAUGCAGCCUUGGCAGUCAGUUUUGAACUUGGAGGGCUUCUUAUGGUGAAGUAGUGUGGGCCAACAUGCCUAUUAGACAUGUUCAGAGCUUUAUAUGCUUUUCUUAUCCGUUUGAAACACAAACAAUUCCUGCUUUCCAAAUCAGGCCUUGCCAUGUAUUAUGAUGGCAGCGGCAACUUGAUAAAAAUAAUAUGGAAAUCAUAGUCUUUAGUUGCCUACAGAGUGUGCUUUGUCCAAGAAGGAAAAAAUCUGCUAUUCUAAAAUUAACUAAAUAAUUGUUUUAAAAGCAUUAAAAUGUUGUAAUCAACUGUU